This 276-nucleotide unclassified non-coding RNA is filed under the name Hevea brasiliensis (rubber tree). The record is from RNAcentral. Lineage: Eukaryota; Viridiplantae; Streptophyta; Magnoliopsida; Malpighiales; Euphorbiaceae.
CCCAGAAUUACCACCUUCAUUUGCUUCACCGUCUUGGUUUACAACAUUUGCCGACAACUUUGUAAGAACCUGUUGUUCAGAAUCUGUUUGGGCAGUACCUUUCCAACUUGGACUAGUUCCAUCCACAUCAUCAUCUCCAACAUCAAAACAGCCUUUAAGUGCUUGAAGAGGUUUAAUUGCAAAUGAAGGAAGUGAACUCUCCAAAUCAUGAAGAUCACUGAACCCAUCCUCAUGACUAGGAGCAGCAGUUGAAUGGUUAGCCCUUUCAUGGGACAG